This is a non-coding RNA of Monodelphis domestica (gray short-tailed opossum), 1117 nucleotides long. The record is from RefSeq and is a predicted model, not a curated record. Lineage: Eukaryota; Metazoa; Chordata; Mammalia; Didelphimorphia; Didelphidae.
UCUCUUGGAUUCAGUGGUUGAAUUGCUCCCAGAUGAAAAGCAUUUGCAUCAGGGUAAGUCCCAAGCCUUGGUCAGAGCUCAGAAUUCCCACCUAAGGUAGUGUGGUCGGGCAAGUCAGCCUGGCAGGGAUGCUCAGGAGCCCAGCCUAGCGGUAUGGGCAGGCAGCAGGGGAGACAGGACAUUUGCUCUGCCAGGCAAGCGAUCAGCACAUGCCUUCAGCAGUGACUGCUUACCUGCUCUCCAGUUCACUGGACCUUGAAUAGCUGGACAUUUGGGGAAUUUGAUCUUUCUCACAAGGUGAUCGUAGAUGUCUAUAGAGAAAGAGAUGCAGUGCUAACAAAGUCCUUUCCUUGAUCUCUCAAAGAUCAACUGAGUAAUUCCAUCCACCCAUCAGCUGAAAAGGGAAUUCAUCUUUGGGCAGAAAACUCAACUAGAAGACCUUGGAGUCCUUUCUGGCUUUAAGAUCUCAUGAUUUGGAUUUAUAUGCUAUUUUUUCACCAAUAGUUUUUUUUUUCUUUCUAAUUUUCAAGAAGAAAGGAUCAUUUACAAAUAAAAUGGGAAUAGAGAAGAAUGUAGAAGUAAACCCUAUGGAAGCAAACCAAAAGAGAAGUUUGAAGGAUUUGAACCACAUAGAAGAACAAACAGGAAAUAAAGAAGAUAAUUGCAUUGUCCAAGGAGAAUAAUGUAGGAGACCUUGAAAUUAAGGACAAGAGUUUUAUGUUUUUCUCUAUGCAAAUAAAAACAGGACAUGUAUUUAAAUAAGGAAAUAAAUGAAUUCAACAUUCACCAAAGGAGAAAAUUAGAGGCAUUCAUGUCAUUAGUAAAUCUUGAUAUUAAGAAAUGCAAAAUUUCAUUUUAGGAGUUGUUCACAAGUAAUAAGACUAUAAAUCAACCAGGGAUCUGGUAAACUGAUUUGGGAUAUUAUUAAUUAUUUAGUCCAACAUUUAGAAAGAGCCAUUAUGAUUUUACAUCUUUGAACUAAAUGAUAACAAAUUCAAUUGGAAAUAAGAUAUGUUCAGGCUGCUUCAUUUUAGUACUUUCUUUAGUGAAUGAUGGAGUCUCACCUUAGUUGUCAAUUCCAGAUGUUUUUGUUGGCACUCUAAACUAAAAAAGAUAU